AUGUGCUGUGAUUUGGAAAUGCGGAGGAAGAUUUUUGUUUGUUUGAGGGAAAAAUGGGGAGGAAGUAAAAAAGAAGCAGUUACCAUCAAUCUGAACGCGUGGAGUGAUGCCGGGCAUGCUGUGAAUCAUCUGUAUGAUAUCCUCUACAUGAUGGGCCGCGACGACAUUCUGGUUGGCAUUGGUGGCGACGGUGGGAUAUCAGAUGCCGGCACCAUAUAUCCCAACGUUGGCGGUUAUUUACCUCUGAUUGACCAGGGGAUCACAACUGCCGGGGACUGCCGGUACAGAAAAGCUGUUCCUCUGGAAGGUGGUGGACGGUUGGACAUUGACACAAACUGGGGAAUUAGAAGGAGCUUCCUUCCACAGGGAAACAGAAGAUAUAUACCAUUUCAGCAACCUACAACGCAGCAAGUGUUUCAUUCUGGCAUUCCAAUCACACUUGUCCCUCUUGAUGCAACUAAUACGAUUCCAGUCAAUGAAGAGUUCUUUUAUGCAUUCCAACAACACCAAAGUACAUUUGAGGCAGAAUACUGUUUCAAGUCAUUGAAAAUGGCUCGAGACACAUGGUCUGAUGAUCAGUUCCAUGCAAGCUAUUUUAUGUGGGAUUCCUUUACUUCUGGUGUAGCCAUCUCUAGCAUGCGCAAUGACAAGGACUGCCUGCAUGGAAAUGAUUUUGCUGAGCUAGAAUACAUGAACAUUACAGUAAUAACUUCAAAUGAACCAUAUGGCAUAUAUGAUGGCUCAAACCCAUUAUUCGAUGGCCAUGCUGUUCCCAAGUUUGGUCUUAAAAAGGGCGGAGUUCAUAGUGGUCAUGUUCAAACUGGAAUUAUAGAUAGCUUCUGUCUUAUAGAGGGAAGUAGGAAAGGAAGAUGUGAGGAUGGAUACACUAAGGAAAUUUCUGGUCUAGAAGCAGUCCGUGUUCGUGUUGCCACAAAGGCUAAAUCAAAUGUGGAUAAAAAUAGCCGUUUGGAUAGGGAAUUUUUCAAGAGCUUCCUAGAGGUCUUAACUCUCCGUGAUAACACAGGCCGUUUCGACAUUACAGCACAAUUUCCAUUCUACAGAGAGGUUCUUUACAAGCCAAACUUUGUUAACAAAAGUAGAGGGAAAGUAACCAUCUUUGACAUGGACAUGAGUGCUGGAGAUUUCGUCUCCCUUAUAUAUCUCUUGAAGGCGCCUGUUGAAGAAAUAGAUUUGAAGGGGAUUUUCGUCAGCGGCAAUGGUUGGGCCAAUGCCGCAACUAUUGAUAUCGUUUAUGACAUUCUACAUAUGAUGGGUCGUGAUGACAUUCCUGUUGGCCGUGGCACUUCUACCGCGUUAGGCACUGGAAUCCUUAGCUGCAAGUAUGUCAGUGCUAUUCCCCAAGGGAGUGGUGGACUUCUCGACUCUGACACUCUGUAUGGACUAGCUCGGUCUUUGCCACGAAGUCCUAGAAGGUACACUGCUGAAAAUUCAGUAGAACAUGGCGCUCCUAGAAAUACUGGUAAUCCGGAACUUCGGCAACCAUUGGCUUUUGAAGUUUGGCAGUCUGUUAAAAGGCAACUUGAUCCAAGUGAGAAGAUCACUAUACUUACCAAUGGACCUCUUACAAAUUUGGCCAAUAUUAUGCUCUCUGACAGGAAUGCAAGUUCUGUAAUAAAGAGUGUAUAUGUUGUUGGAGGCCAUAUCAGAGAUGAAAAUGAUUCAAACGGCAACGUGUUCACUGUUCCAUCUAAUAGAUAUGCGGAGUUCAAUCUGUUUCUUGAUCCCCUAGCUGCGAAAGUAGUUCUAGAAUCCACUAUGGAUAUCACUUUGAUUCCUCUUAGCUCUCAGAGAAAAGCUUCUUCCUUUCAGACUCUCCUUGAAUCUCUAGAGUAUGCUGAAAAUACUCCAGAAUCAAGUUUUGUCCUCCAUUUGUUGUCAUUGCUGCAUGACUUGCAACAGAAGCACCGGCUGUACCAUCAUAUGGGUAUAUUUCUGGGAGAACUACUUGGUGCUGUUUAUUUGGUGGAAGGAUCAAACAUGGAACAUUCAUUAUUACUGAAGCCAAUAAGCAUUAUUGCUGACAAUACAACAAGCACGGAUGGACAGGUGGUAGUCGACGAACAGAGCGCAAAUUUGGUGAAGGUACUAGUGGAUUUCGAUAGCGACGAAUAUUACAGUCGAGUUGCCAACCAUCUAGGCAACAUGGAGCGAUCUGCCGUUAUUGGUAGUUUUGCAGAACAGAGGUCAUCAUGGAGCAGGCAACCAGAUAACUUGAGAGUACGCUGA
Molecule: ribosomal RNA, 2247 nt
Filed under: Triticum aestivum (bread wheat)
Lineage: Eukaryota; Viridiplantae; Streptophyta; Magnoliopsida; Poales; Poaceae
Description: partial small subunit ribosomal RNA
Source: RNAcentral